UCAAAUCCGGGGGUCUAGAUUUGGUGCCACUAAAAGAAAACCAAUUGAAAAUCUGUAUGUUUUUUUUUUUUUUAAAAAAAGCAAAAACAAGUAUUUCAAACCUGGAUAUUAAAAAAAAUGAUUUACCCUUUCGAAACAUGUAUUGUUGAAAAGCUAAUAAAAAUCAAAGAAUUUAAAACCUAAAAGCUUUAAUAAAAGAUUUAAAAAAAAACAAAGUUUAACCCCCUUUAAAACAGGAUCGCAAACAGGCUAUAUUAUUGAAAUCAGAAAAGUAAAACUAAUAAAUCUUAUUACAUGUUUUUACAACUAAAACAAGUUUAGACAACUCUAAUUACCACUAGUCCCAAAGACUCGAUCUUGGAUACUCUUCCUGACCAUCAGGUUGAAACUUAGUCACUUGCAAUCCUCGCCUAGCCUUACUCUUAUGCUUAGCCUAAAUAGGCGAACCAUCUUUAACAUUAUCUGAAAGGGGUUAGAAGAAAUAGCAAGAAUGAGCAAAAGAAUGCUCAGCAAGUAUAUAAUAUCCAAACCAACAAUAAAUCAAACAGUAUGUAAAAUCUGACAAUGAUAUAAAGAUAAUGAUACCAACACAAUAUGAUUUAAACAAAACAGUUUCUCCUUUAUGGAAUUGGAACCAGAUAAGACGCUACGAGCUAAGCUGGGUGAUCAGCCCACGACAUAGCUCCGAACCCGCAUAUUCAAUACGAGUUCUCAAAUAUAAAGGAUCCUAGGCACACUUUGGCCUUUAAUAAUUCAAUUGGGACCGGCGCCUCGGUCAUAAAACAUUUUCAUCCAAUUCCCUUUCUAAAACAGAUAAAUCAAAUCAUUUUUCAUUUUAAGACCUAUUUUAUGAAAACUAAUCCACUUCUAACAAUUUAAAUCAACAGACAACUGAAUCAACAGAACAGAAUCAUAAUCAUUAUCAGCAACAGAAAUAUUUCAAAUCAACUUUUGGGAAUCAACAUUUCAUAAACCACAGUCUGUCUUUUGAUAAAUCAUAGUUCAGG
RNAcentral lists this long non-coding RNA (1007 nucleotides) under Daucus carota (carrot). Its description in RNAcentral is "long non-coding RNA (DCAR_LNC005646)". Lineage: Eukaryota; Viridiplantae; Streptophyta; Magnoliopsida; Apiales; Apiaceae. The record is from RNAcentral.